Long non-coding RNA from Alnus glutinosa, 712 nucleotides. RefSeq lists it as uncharacterized. The record is from RefSeq and is a predicted model, not a curated record. The transcript is spliced from 2 exons. NCBI's taxonomy places the organism in Eukaryota, Viridiplantae, Streptophyta, Magnoliopsida, Fagales, Betulaceae.
UUUCUCUUUUCCUUUUCUUUCUUUUUCUUCUUUUCCUUUCCCCCUCUUUCUCUUGCACACUUUUCUCUUCUUCUCUCUUUUUCUUCCUCUCUCUCCCCCACCCGGCAAUAUCCUCUUCCUCUCUUCUUUUUCUCUUCUUUCACGCAGCUCACCCGUUCUCUCCCCCAUCUCCUUCUUCUUUUCGUCCCUUUUAUCACACACACCUGGGACCGUAAGAGUGAUGAGCCGAUCAAGAUGGAGCUCGAGAAAGAGAGAUUCUGCCGAGAGAGAUGAGCCGUGAUUGAGAGUGAGAUGCGAUUCUGAGAUGGAGUGUUGCUGCCUGGCCUUUGAAGAACGACUUUGAUGCUUUGACUGCAGGUUCAGUGGAUCUAAUGAAUGACGUCAUAGCCUAGUACUUGGGAUGUUAUGACUGAAGCCCGACGCGACAGUUAUAAUGGUUGGACCAUGUAUUGUCCGCCUUUUGGUAGACUUUGUUUAUGGCUCGUGUCGCCUGUGACACUUGUAUUUAUGAGCCAGUCUUUUGGUAUGUAUUUAAUAGCUAUGUAGAAGCCUUAAAUAGAUAGAUAUAUUAAUGGCUCUUUUGUUGUGAUUGACUGUUGUUUAUAGAUGUACCUUCCGCUAUGUUGAUAAGGUUAUUAUGUGUUAUCCGCUGCGUAGAUGUAACUCUGAUUAUCAGGUACUUGUUAUGGAAUGUGUACCAUAUGUUGGCUGA